RNAcentral lists this ribosomal RNA (194 nucleotides) under uncultured bacterium. RNAcentral describes it as "partial 16S ribosomal RNA". It matches the Rfam family "Bacterial small subunit ribosomal RNA", at positions 338 to 524 of the family's 1533-position model. The record is from RNAcentral.
CCUACGGGAGGCAGCAGUAGGGAAUCUUCCGCAAUGGACGAAAGUCUGACGGAGCAACGCCGCGUGAGUGAAGAAGGUUUUCGGAUCGUAAAACUCUGUUGUCAGAGAAGAACAAGUUGGAGAGUAACUGCUCCAGCCUUGGCGGUAUCUGACCAGAAAGCCACGGCUAACUACGUGCCAGCAGCCGCGGUAAU